UACAGAGGAUGCAAGCGUUAUCCGGAAUGAUUGGGCGUAAAGCGUCUGUAGGUGGCUUUUUAAGUCCGCCGUCAAAUCCCAGGGCUCAACUCUGGACAGGCGGUGGAAACUACCAAGCUGGAGUACGGUAGGGGCAGAGGGAAUUUCCGGUGGAGCGGUGAAAUGCGUAGAGAUCAGGAAGAACACCCGUGGCGCAAGCGACCACCUGGCCGAGACCUGACGCUGAGGCACGAGAGCGUGGGGAGCGAACCGG
Molecule: ribosomal RNA, 253 nt
Filed under: uncultured bacterium
Lineage: Bacteria
Description: partial 16S ribosomal RNA
Rfam family: Bacterial small subunit ribosomal RNA
Source: RNAcentral